RNAcentral lists this ribosomal RNA (341 nucleotides) under uncultured bacterium. RNAcentral describes it as "bacterial SSU rRNA". It matches the Rfam family "Bacterial small subunit ribosomal RNA", at positions 775 to 1110 of the family's 1533-position model. The record is from RNAcentral.
AGAUAAUAGAUACCCGGGUAGUCCUGGCCCUCAACGUUGCUCGCUCGUUUUACGGAGUAUCGACCCUCUGUGAGACUAAAGCUAAACGCGGUAAGCGAGCCGCCUGGGUAGUACGAUCGCAAGAUUAAAACUCAAAGGAAUAGACGGGGACGUCGCACAAGCAGUGGAUUAUGCGGCUUAAUUCGUCGGUAAACGAAGAACCUUACCAAGGUUAGAACCCAACUGCAUCCGACCUGAAAGGGACGGAGCCUUCGAGGGUGUUGGGCAGGUGAUGCAUGGUCGUCGUCAGCUCGUGGUUUGAACUGUUCCCUUCAGUGGGGUAACGAACGCAACCCCGUCGU